UGCAGUCGAGCGGUAGAGAGGUGCUUGCACCUCUUGAGAGCGGCGGACGGGUGAGUAAUGCCUAGGAAUCUGCCUGAUAGUGGGGGAUAACGUCCGGAAACGGACGCUAAUACCGCAUACGUCCUACGGGAGAAAGCAGGGGACCUUCGGGCCUUGCGCUAUCAGAUGAGCCUAGGUCGGAUUAGCUAGUUGGUGAGGUAAAGGCUCACCAAGGCGACGAUCCGUAACUGGUCUGAGAGAUGAUCAGUCACACUGGAACUGAGACACGGUCCAGACUCCUACGGGAGGCAGCAGUGGGGAAUAUUGGACAAUGGGCGAAAGCCUGAUCCAGCCAUGCCGCGUGUGUGAAGAAGGUCUUCGGAUUGUAAAGCACUUUAAGUUGGGAGGAAGGGUCGUUACCUAAUACGUGACGAUUUUGACGUUACCGACAGAAUAAGCACCGGCUAACUCUGUGCCA
Molecule: ribosomal RNA, 457 nt
Filed under: Pseudomonas sp.
Lineage: Bacteria; Pseudomonadati; Pseudomonadota; Gammaproteobacteria; Pseudomonadales; Pseudomonadaceae
Description: bacterial SSU rRNA
Rfam family: Bacterial small subunit ribosomal RNA
Source: RNAcentral